Prionailurus viverrinus (fishing cat) is the source of this 1761-nucleotide long non-coding RNA. RefSeq lists it as uncharacterized. Lineage: Eukaryota; Metazoa; Chordata; Mammalia; Carnivora; Felidae. The record is from RefSeq and is a predicted model, not a curated record. The transcript is spliced from 5 exons.
UCUCUUGCUCAAGAGUUGCAGAAGUAGGUUUCUAUACUGAGUACUUCCCCAGUGACUUUCUCGGGCCAUCUUCAUAUCAUUUCCCUGCACUAGGGACCCUGCAUGGCUUUUCUACUGGAGCGUCCUUUUCCUUUUUCACAAGAAAAAUAAGUCCCGAUAUUUCGACUCUGUGAAGAGCCUCAGCCAGAUCACCGAAUAAUGGUUUUGGGGCUAGAUCUGAGCAGAAAUAUCCUGAGAUGCACCUGUGUCAAAGCAUGGUUGAAACAAUGGAUCUGUGUCUUAUGCAAAGUUUAAAAGUGGAAUCGAUGUAUGUCAUGAACUGACACGGAAUGACAGACUGUGCUGAUGUCGAUCUCCUGACCUUGACACUGCACGAUAAUCAUGUCAGACGUAACCACGGGGAGACACUGGGGGACGAGUACGGGGGUCUCUCCAUACUAUCUGUUCAACUUCGUGCUCGCUCAAGUGGAAGCUGGCUGCUCAUUUUCAAGGACUAAUCCAGUGACUCACCAGGGGGGGACGAACGAAAAGAAUGGCACCCGUGUGUAUAAACACAGCUGUACAGCUCUGUCUGCACUGGAACACAAGGAAUAGGAGUCCUCCAGGAGAACAUAAAAGACAAGGGGGAUAUUCAACUACUCACAGGUCAUUUUCAUGGGAUUCUUGAAACACAACGUGAAGGGAACGGUGUUGACCUCCAACAUUGUAAAAGAAAAGCCUUUCGGGGAUGAUGAAGUUAACAGACUGCCUUCGACGUCAAAGGCCACCUUUGGUGGUACUGCGGUAAUGGGGAGAUUCUCACGACAAAAAUAAACUGCCAACGGGAAAUGGUAUUUAGAAUCGUUUGAUUCAGGUAAAAUUGGAAGAGUAUCCCAUCAAGUUUAUUUUUCCUACCACCUCUCUUGCAGCUGGCUGUGGCCAAAUGACUACAUGUUAUCUGGAGGGAGGCUGGUGACAUCACAUGUGCUAAGCUUGGCCGAUGUGCCUACAAGGGAUGGAAUGUCCUUUCCCCUUUCCCGUGCACUGUCCCUUCAGAGUGGAAUGAGACAAGUUGGGAUAAACUGAAGAAGGGUUCAUCUUAAACCAUGACAUGAUGGAGUAAGCCUGGGUCCCUAAUGAUGAGGGAGCAAAAGGCAGGCUGAGGGCAAAGCAAUCUAGCAUCCCCUACUCACUCUCCCCCCAACUCCCAUGGGAUAUGUGUGACAUUCCUCAGUCACUCCUGGCUGCCCAAGAACAAAGGAAGCAGGCAAGAAAACAAAUGGCUGAAUGACAGAAAUGACAGCCAUGCAGGACACGAGUCUCUGUCAGUUUAUGAAUGUCUUAGUAAAUUACAAGAUAAAGGCAAUCUUGUCAAUAGCCUAACCUCCAGAAACCCAAAGAGUCAGUUUCCUGGAGCCCCAACAUCACCCUCCCCUCCAUAGUCAUGUGGGAACAAAGACAUGGAGGAAAUGGCAGGUAAAAUUAAAUUUCUUCAUAAUCUGCAGCCCACUGAUAAAUACUUGAGGCAAAUACAAAGUAUAACAUUUCUCCAGGAACCCCCUACCAUCCUAAUGUUAAUAACUAGAGGGGAAACAACCUUAGCUUGACAACAGCCAGGCCUCCAUUAUCUUAUGAGUCAUCUUUAGCAUAUCAAAGUCUUUUUGGAAAACUCCCUUCUUUUACCUCCCCAACUCCACAAUAUAUAAUCAGUCUCUCCUCACAACCCCAGUGCAGCUCUUUCUGCCCAUGGGUCCUGUCCCUGUGCUUUAAUAAAACCACCUU